Molecule: unclassified non-coding RNA, 855 nt
Filed under: Hevea brasiliensis (rubber tree)
Lineage: Eukaryota; Viridiplantae; Streptophyta; Magnoliopsida; Malpighiales; Euphorbiaceae
Source: RNAcentral
CACCCUAUUGCUUCCUUCAUCUUAUUUUAUGGUUGUAUCGACAUCGUGUUUUCUCCCUAUGGUAGUUAUUGGAGACAGCUUCGAAAAAUUUGCACAGUGGAACUUCUCAGCCCAAAGCGCGUCCAAUCCUUCCGGUCAAUCAGGGAAGAGGAAGUUUCUAAUUUCAUCAAAACAAUUUCACAGACCGGCAAGUCUCCGAUCAAUCUUUCUGAGAAACUUUUCCUAAUUACGAACAGCAUAAUACAGCGAGCUGCAGUUGGUAAAAAGUGCAGAGAUCAGGAAGAAUUGGUUUCAGCCGUCGAACGAUUUAUAAGUCUCUCUUCAGGUUUUGCUAUUGCAGAUUUGUACCCUUCAAUUAAAGUUUUUCAACAGAUGAGUGGAUUAAGGUCUAAACUUGAGAAGGUGCAUCGACAAGUUGAUCGGAUAAUUGAGAAUAUCAUUAGGGAGCAAAAAAGCCAAGCCACAGCCUCUCAGGUGGGCAGCGGUAAUGAAGUAGAAGAUCUUAUUCAUGUUCUUUUAAAGCUUCAAGAACAGGGAAAUCUUGAAUUUGCUCUAUCUGACGCCAGUCUUAAAGCAAUCAUUCUGGAUGUGUUUGCUGCUGGGACUGAGACGUCAUCAUCAACAUUAGAGUGGGCAAUGUCAGAAUUGUUGAAGAAUCCAAAGCUGAUGAAGGAGGCACAGGCUGAAGUAAGACGAGUAUUUGAUCCAAAAGGAACUGUAGAUGAAACCAGAAUAAAUGAGCUGAAAUUUUUGAAAUCAGUAAUCAAAGAAACCUUGAGGCUACACCCUCCUUUAUCUCUUAUUGCAAGAGAAUGUGGCACAAGUUGUGUGAUUAAUGGAUAUCAUAUACCUGCC